This 472-nucleotide long non-coding RNA is filed under the name Lupinus angustifolius (narrow-leaved blue lupine). RNAcentral's name for it is "long non-coding RNA (LANG_LNC000912)". Lineage: Eukaryota; Viridiplantae; Streptophyta; Magnoliopsida; Fabales; Fabaceae. The record is from RNAcentral.
UUGAAAUUUGCUGCCCUUCUUGGGUUUCAUUUAGAAAUAGAGCUUGUUGUUUGAUUCAAUUAUUCUUAAAUAAAAGCUUCAUCAACAUGUCUGAAGAUUAUUUAUAGGAGAUGACUUUAACAAAUGGUGAUACAUAUGACCAAGUAACAGGAAUCGUCUUAAUAAGUUUGUGAAGGAUAAUUGAAAUCUGUCAAUUAUCGAGGUUGUUUAUUUCUAGUGAGGAAUCCCCGCCAUGUGUACUAUUUUACCCUUCCCUUCACAUUGACAAUUUCAGAAUGUUUAUGUGGUUCUAUAAUCCAUUGCUCUUCUCUGUUCAAUUCUAAUUAAUGUUUCAGUUUUGCGACCUGUGGGCAAAACCUCAACUACAGAUAGAGAAUAAGUAGUAUCUUAUGUGUAGAAGUUUUCACCUUCCUAUUCUUUUCUUACAUUUGAUUAGCUUUUGAAAAAAUGAGCAUCCAUUGAGUGUUGGCAC